Molecule: microRNA precursor, 125 nt
Filed under: Podarcis lilfordi (Lilford's wall lizard)
Lineage: Eukaryota; Metazoa; Chordata; Lepidosauria; Squamata; Lacertidae
Source: RNAcentral
AACUAAGUUUGUUAUUGGUAUGAGCUUUUGUGUAUGCACACUUCUUCAGAUACCUUCAGAUACUUCAAGUAUCUGAAGAAGUGUGCAUGCACAUGAAAGCUCAUACCAAUAACAAACUUAGUUGG